AGUGAACGCUGGCGGUAUGCCUAACACAUGCAAGUCGAACGGCAGCACAGUAAGAGCUUGCUCUUACGGGUGGCGAGUGGCGGACGGGUGAGGAAUACAUCGGAAUCUACUUUUUCGUGGGGGAUAACGUAGGGAAACUUACGCUAAUACCGCAUACGACCUACGGGUGAAAGCAGGGGAGCUUCGGACCUUGCGCGAUUGAAUGAGCCGAUGUCGGAUUAGCUAGUUGGCGGGGUAAAGGCCCACCAAGGCGACGAUCCGUAGCUGGUCUGAGAGGAUGAUCAGCCACACUGGAACUGAGACACGGUCCAGACUCCUACGGGAGGCAGCCGUGGGGAAUAUUGGACAAUGGGCGCAAGCCUGAUCCAGCCAUACCGCGUGCGUGAAGAAGGCCUUCGGGUUGUAAAGCCCUUUUGUUGGGAAAGAAAAGCAGCAGGUUAAUACCCCGCUGUUCUGACGGUACCCAAAGAAUAAGCACCGGCUAACUUCGUG
RNAcentral lists this ribosomal RNA (492 nucleotides) under uncultured bacterium. RNAcentral's name for it is "partial 16S ribosomal RNA". It matches the Rfam family "Bacterial small subunit ribosomal RNA", at positions 29 to 507 of the family's 1533-position model. The record is from RNAcentral.